GAGAGUUAAACAGUACGUGAAAUUGUUGAAAGGGAAACGAUUGAAGUCAGUCAUGCUAGUGAAAAUUCAGUUUGACGGGUUUUGGGUUUAGGAGUAAGAGAUAGGGUCAAACCGUCUCUCUUUUAAACUUGGGAUUUGUCGGAUGCACUUUUUCUUUGGCAGGUCAGCGUCGAUUUCGGGGGUUGUAAAAUACUUGGGGGAAAGUAGCUCUGCUUCGGGAGAGUGUUAUAGACCCUGGGGGAUGCAGCUUGCGGGAUCGAGGAUUGCAGCAAAUGCCUUUGGCUUGUCGUCUGAUCUUUGGUUGUUACCUCGUUUAUGACAACAUUCUUGUCAUCGAUGAGUUCUAAUGGUUAUGGGUUAGAACGAUCAAAAAUUUGCUAAGGAUGCUGACGUAAUGGCUUUAAACGA
RNAcentral lists this ribosomal RNA (408 nucleotides) under uncultured Diversispora. RNAcentral describes it as "partial 28S ribosomal RNA". Lineage: Eukaryota; Fungi; Glomeromycota; Glomeromycetes; Diversisporales; Diversisporaceae. The record is from RNAcentral.